Molecule: non-coding RNA, 95 nt
Organism: Mycena olivaceomarginata
Lineage: Eukaryota; Fungi; Basidiomycota; Agaricomycetes; Agaricales; Mycenaceae
Source: the annotation of a GenBank genome assembly
GUCCCCGUGGAGUAAACUCACCUCGCUCCCUCCUCUUAGUGUGGGCGGAUAUACUGUUUAAGGGAGAGUCGGUGGUUCGAAUCCACCCGGGGACA